CACGGCGGCGGCGGCAGCA
This 19-nucleotide unclassified non-coding RNA is filed under the name Chlamydomonas reinhardtii. RNAcentral describes it as "small RNA Cre_0890". The record is from RNAcentral. Lineage: Eukaryota; Viridiplantae; Chlorophyta; Chlorophyceae; Chlamydomonadales; Chlamydomonadaceae.